RNAcentral lists this ribosomal RNA (254 nucleotides) under uncultured bacterium. RNAcentral describes it as "partial 16S ribosomal RNA". It matches the Rfam family "Bacterial small subunit ribosomal RNA", at positions 524 to 776 of the family's 1533-position model. The record is from RNAcentral.
UACAGAGGGUGCGAGCGUUUGUCCGGAAUUAUUGGGCGUAAAGGGCUCGUAGGCGGUCCAUCACGUCGGGAGUGAAAAGCUGGGGCUUAACCCCAGUCCUGCUUCCGAUACGGGUGGACUAGAGGUAGGCAGGGGAGAACGGAAUUCCCAGUGUAGCGGUGAAAUGCGCAGAUAUUGGGAAGAACACCAGUGGCGAAGGCGGUUCUCUGGGACGGUACUGACGCUGAGACGCGAAAGCGUGGGGAGCAAACAGG